AUUAAGGUUAACCUGCCCACUGAGUAUUUAAAUGGCCGCAGUAUUUUAACUGUGCAAAGGUAGCAUAAUCAUUAGUCUUUUAAUUGAAGGCUUGUAUGAAUGGUUGGACGAGACAUUAACUGUUUCAUAUAAAUUGAGGUUGAAUUUUAUUUUUUAGUUAAAAAGCUAAAAUAUAUUUAAAAGACGAGAAGACCCUAUAGAUCUUUAUAAAUUAAGUAUUUUUAUUAUAUAGAUAAUUUAAAUAAUAAUAUAACAAUUUAUUUUAUUGGGGUGAUAUUAAAAUAUAAUUAACUUUUAAUAGUUAAAUACAUUAAUUUAUGAAUAAUUGAUCCAUUAUUAAUGAUUAAAAAAUUAAGUUACCUUAGGGAUAACAGCGUAAUUUUUUUAGAGAGUUCAUAUCGAUAAAAAAGAUUGCGACCUCGAUGUUGGAUUAAGAGAUAGUAUUGGGUGCAGCAAUUCAAUUUUUAAGUCUGUUCGACUUUUAAUUCCUACAUGAUCU
This 499-nucleotide ribosomal RNA is filed under the name Xestomyza lugubris. RNAcentral describes it as "partial 16S ribosomal RNA". It matches the Rfam family "Bacterial large subunit ribosomal RNA", at positions 1845 to 2606 of the family's 2925-position model. The record is from RNAcentral. Lineage: Eukaryota; Metazoa; Arthropoda; Insecta; Diptera; Therevidae.